Molecule: long non-coding RNA, 360 nt
Organism: Gossypium arboreum
Lineage: Eukaryota; Viridiplantae; Streptophyta; Magnoliopsida; Malvales; Malvaceae
Exons: 2
Source: RefSeq, a predicted model, not a curated record
AAGAAUUAAAUGGAUGAAAUAUGAAGUUUUAUUAAAAGAAAAAGGGGUGAAAAGAACAAAGUUUUGUCCAUCUUUGUUCAUCAUAGCUGAAAGUUAGAAAAGAGAAAGGAGAGGAGAAAGCUCUUGAGUAUUCGGUCAUUAGGAGGAGGAAAAUUGAAGGCAGUUCGUGUAUGGAUCUCGUCAGCAUAUCGUCGCAAACAGGUGUGUAACUAACACCCUCUUUCUUAGUCUAGAUCGGCAAAAGUCGAAAAGCCGAAAUGCCGAAAACCGGUAUUUUGUAGAUUUGCGAGUGUGCGAAUGCUCGUGAGGUAAAUCGAUUAAUGUUUUUGGUAAGCUGCAAUGUUUGGACUGCAAAGUGCA